RNAcentral lists this ribosomal RNA (456 nucleotides) under uncultured bacterium. Its description in RNAcentral is "bacterial SSU rRNA". It matches the Rfam family "Bacterial small subunit ribosomal RNA", at positions 34 to 507 of the family's 1533-position model. The record is from RNAcentral.
CGCUGGCGGCGCGCCUAACACAUGCAAGUCGAACGAGUGGAAACCCUUCGGGGUAGAAGCUAGUGGCGGACGGGUGAGUAACACGUGAGGAACCUGCCUAUCAGAGAGGGAUACCGUUUGGAAACGAACGUUAAUACCUCAUAACGUAACGAGAUCGCAUGAUAAUGUUACCAAAGAUUUAUCGCUGAUAGAUGGCCUCGCGUCUGAUUAGAUAGUUGGCGGGGUAACGGCCCACCAAGUCGACGAUCAGUAGCCGGACUGAGAGGUUGAACGGCCACAUUGGGACUGAGACACGGCCCAGACUCCUACGGGAGGCAGCAGUGGGGGAUAUUGGACAAUGGGGGCAACCCUGAUCCAGCGACGCCGCGUGAGGGAAGAAGGUUUUCGGAUUGUAAACCUCUGUCGACAGGGAAAAUGAUGAUGGUACCUGUGGAGGAAGCCACGGCUAACUACGUG